Long non-coding RNA from Phragmites australis (common reed), 5323 nucleotides. RefSeq lists it as uncharacterized. The transcript has 3 exons. Lineage: Eukaryota; Viridiplantae; Streptophyta; Magnoliopsida; Poales; Poaceae. The record is from RefSeq and is a predicted model, not a curated record.
UUUCUCCUCCCCUUCCUUACCUAUCCGUUCGGACACCCUCCUCAUCUCUCUCUCCCUUCCCUGCGAGCUCACGCCCCCACGAGCACCUCUGUCACGAGAGAGAGGCGGAGCAGGGGGCGCGCUGGGGGAGGCGAUGAAUCUAGAGAGGUUGCCGCCGGCGUCACUGGCGGAGGCGGCCGGGGCCGGGGGCGUGGCGUGCUCCAUCUGCCUAGAUCCGGUGCUCGGCCGUCGCGGGGGUAGGUUCGUCGCCAAGCUGCAAUGGUGCCACGAGUUCCACCUAGAUUGCUGAACUAAACAAGUUUUUCCUGCUAGAUUGAGAAAGGUCGCUGGCUUUAUGCAAGCAGACAUCGCCCCUCUCCUGAUAUUGAUAUGGGUGGCUGGGUGACUAGUGACACCUAUGAUAUCACCUCUGAGCUUCCAUGGAAUUUCAGUGGAGACCCUUCAGUGGAUUCACACAGCUAGCAUCUGUGUUUGAGUAAGUACUUGUCUUUUGGAACAUGUUUUUAUUGAUUGAGAAUAAAUAAUGGGGAUGUGCUCUUCCUUACUUUCAAAAGAGAGUACCUAUUUUGUCUUACGGCAUGUCAAUAGAUAUGCUGGUGGUGGUAUAUUGAACUGAUAAUGGUACUGCCUCCGUGCUAAAUACUUUUAAUUAUCAGAAAUCAGCAAUUAAAAGCUGAAAACUGCCAGACGAAUGUAACACCCUAGGGGCCACAAGACCUAGAAUGCCACUUAACUACACGACUUACAGCUGAACUUAUAGAAAAUUCAGUAACAUCUCCUCUGUAUUUUAAGUAAUACGAAAACAAUAACAUAAAUAAAAAAGAUGUAAGACAUAACACACUAGUAUUUAAAUCACCUUAACAAGGACUAAGAGUAAUCUAUUAUGUUCAACAUCAUAACAACACUAUAAAUUUCGAACACACGAUUAAAGAUAAUCUAUUAUUACAGCUCAGUGAUAUUAAGUGAAGACAUGGAGUGCAAAACGUGCUUCUAAUCUCUUCCCUCCAUGCUAACUUCAAGAAGACAAUCUGGGGAGGGAAAAUGUAAGGGUGAGAUUGAUUAAUCUCAGCAAGAGGACUAUUUUAACAAGUUAUUUAAACCGCAUUAUUUAAAUAAUCAAUUUAAAACCUUAACAGGUAUAAAAGACAUUAUAUAAUUCAUCAUUGUUUAUUUUUAAGCAAGUUAAAUAGUUACUUCUAAAAGAAGAUCAAUAAAUACAUGUUCAUAGCAAAUAUAACUACAACAUAAGUAGGAUAAAAAACUAUCUAUCCUAUAUAACAUGGUAUCAACAUCAAUAAUUGACUUCAACUUCUAAGAGUUAAAUAUGACGUGUAAGAAUAUAUCAUCAUCUAAGACAUCAUGAAUAGAGUUCAAGUCAUAUUAAUAAUAAAUAACAGCUGUAAGAAUAAUUCACUCGUAAUCACAUACCUUCUACAAUUAGUAAGACUACUCAAACAUCUGUAUACCAUUCAUCACAACCAACUUGUGUACGGAAGAUUACGGCAACACAAUAUGAUGCAUAUGGAUACUAUACAAUGCAAAUCCACGUAGGACUUCAAUACCCUUCAUAAAUCCACAAGUCAUACCACAAUGAACAUAUCUACGGAGAAGUGUCGUUUCUCAUAAUGACAUCCAAUGCAACUUCAACAUAUCCAAUAAUCAAUUUCAUACAGCAAUACAUAUGAUGCAAUGACAUGUCUUCUUUUACAUCGCACCCCUCUUCGGGCAAUGUACGACGCGUACCGGUACGAUCGUGAUCUUAAGAUAGCAACAUAACUUUCAAUACAUAUACAAAUUCAAGUGCAUAUGUCAUGCUACAUUCAUAUUAAAAGUAUACCACCAAUAAUGCUUAAAAUACCAAAAAGUAUAAUACAUAUAACAUGAUCUUCAACAUGCACAUUCGGAACAGAGUUAUAAAUAACGCAUUCUUCGCAAGUAUCCAUCAAGACAUAAAUAAAGAUUUUAUGAUCAAACCCUGACAUACUAAAUAUGAACUUAACGAUAGACUUCCGCUAUGAAUAUCGUGUCCUAUGCAGAGCACCAAUAAAACAAUCAAUCCACCUAUGUUAACCUAUAGUUAACCUAUUUCAUUUGAAGCAUGUAUAUGAUAGCAAGAAUUUCAUGAUUAUAAUUGAGUUAGUUCAAAGCAUAGAUAACCUAUACAAGUAUACCUCAUAUGUUCAAUAUAUGAUCAGGCAUACACUAAAUUUCUAGAACUAUCAUCAAGUAUUUGCAUUUACCCAUUCAUCCAUAUUUAAGCAUAAAGCAAAAUACCAACAUCAGAGCCACGUUACUAUAAACGUAAUGGAAUAUUCUAACAGAAUUAGGGUAACAGGUUUAAUUCUCUAAAUUAUUAAAUAUAACUAGGUGUGCUGCAUUAUUAAGAGUGGAGGUAGUAAAAAUAACAAACUAAAGUUGUAGCAACGCAACAGCUACAUUCACUUGUGUUUACCAACAAUGAAGAUAAGACAUACACGUCUUGGUGCAACAUCAUCUGCUCAAGCACUCAUAUAUCAGCACCAAAACACAACAUACGACACACAAACAAGGAACGCGGUCUUACGCCCCGCAACCUAUCAAACAUACAAACCGAUAUCUUCACAUUCGUUUGACUGCAGUAGUGCUACUUCACUUUUUCGUAUUUAUUUCUACAACAGAUAUGAUAACAAAUAAAUACAUUUUUGGAAACUACAGAAUGAGGGUUAUAACUUUUGAAGAGAAAACAUAAUUUUAUUCUGCAACUAAGUUGGCCUAAAUUGCAACCAAAAAUAGGUUUCUGAAACUGUCUGAAAAUUCAGGUAGCAGGCUUCACUUUUUUAUAUCUACUAAAACAUACUUCCAAAAAUUCUGAAAUUUUAUGGGUGUGUAGAUAUUAAUACCCUCUACAACAUUCUAGUCCUAACAUUUUGCAGAAAAAGGCCUCUAAGAUAGCCUGAUUUAUGCCCAAACUUAACUGAACUUUCCGACGGCCAAAACAAGAUAGUCAACAUUGACUGAUCAUAACUGAAGUUAUACUUCACCAAAAAUUGCGUUAUUUACCAAUACAGAAAGCUUAAAAAAAACUCUACAACUUUUAUUCAUAUGGGUUUGGCAGAUUCUGCUUCUAAGGUGGUCAAAAACUAAAUAGAUAUAUUACUAUCCAGAACUUCAUCAGAAUCUGACAGCCAAUUGCACAAAUACAUAUCUCCUAAACUACUUUACCAAAAAUUAUGAAUUAGGACUUAGUGGAAAGGUUUUGAAGACCUCUACAAUUUUCUCAACUAAAGAAAAAAUUAAUUUGGCCUCUAACAGGAUGAAAAUCUAAGCCCUAGAUGAACUGCAUAAUCUAAUGAAAACUGCAGCGCCUAAAAUGAGAUCAAAUGACUAACCCCUCCGCUAAACCAUUGAAUCUAGCUAAUUGCAGGCAUGGAACACAUCAAAAUAGGGGGAAGACGACCAUAGGGCUUACCUAGGGCUUCCUUGAAGAACAACGAGGUUAUGAUGGGGAAACACCGAUGUAGCAUCUCUUCUUGAUCCCCUCUUCCUCCUAGAUCAGUUUUUUUUCCUUUACCCCUUGAUCCUUGCUGCAAUGGAGGAGGGCUAUGGAGGGGAGGCGUGCUGUGGGAAGGGAGGGAGGCGUGCUGGGGGAGGGGGUUGAACAGGGAGAAGGGGGUGGCGCUAGGGAGGGGGAGGAGUUCGGCCCCCUGCUAUGUUAAGCAUUUUUUUUCCUUUUUUUGAAUAAUCUUACACAUUCAAAUUUUGAUUACAUGCAUCUCCUUGAUCCGAGUUCUAAAACCCGCAAGUGAGUAGUCAAACAGAAUAGUUUUGAUGAGAUCUACGCAUAUGCGGUCCCGAUUAUCCAUAUGAACAACGGAUCAAAAAAUCAACUUUUUCGCUCCCUCUAUCUUCUCGGUCAACCUGUCUUCUUUUAUGUAUUCUUAAGUUGAAAAUGCCUUUUCUCCUUGUACUCUUUCCACAACUUGAAAACCAAAAAUGAUAGAACAACAACAACAAAAACAGUGUUUUAACUUCUCCGGUGUUAUAACGAAUUCGACUGGUCUUCCAAAGAAAUACUAUCCGAAAGACAACCUAGGAACUAUAGAUUAAUUUCUUUGAUGCUGUCAUUAAUGGUACAUGAUGAUGUUUAAUGCAUUAAGCUAGCCGUAUUACAAGUCCCUUUGUAGAUUUGGAGUUUCCAGGUCGACACCUCGCAAUGGAAGAAAUUUGGUGGCACCAUUAGGGUAAUUUCUAGCUGUCGUGGCAGAGACUAGAGGCCAUGGUCAUGGUGCAAGAGGUCAUAUGCACCAACAGUCGAUGCACUCCUAUAUGCAGAGCAGCCCAUUCCCUCCUACCACUAGAAGGGUUAGGCCGAGGGCCUUGACAAUUACAUCUUUCAUUGCAACAUCAUCCUCUGCUGAGAUUGGAGGCUCCCAUGGAUUUUGGCCCCUGGAGCUGUCAACAGGAGCGUUCCUGAUGCUAGGGGCAGGAGGGCUUUGCCCUGUUCUUGGAUCCCUGCUGAGGGUGACUUAUCCAGAACUAUGCACAUGGAAGUUUCACUCGAAGGCCUGCUGGCGAGCGGAUGCCCCAGAGAAUGGCUACCAGCCUGUGCCUCCCCAGAGGAUGCCGCCGUUCUUGUGAUCUAUGAAGGCUUCUCCUAUUGCUGUGUAAUAUCUCUAAAUUAGUUGAAAUUAUUUGAUUCUAGACUUGAGAAACAAAGGAGGGAAGAAGACGCUGCAGUGUCAAGGUUUGGUGUUUAAGGAACUCGGAUGAUGUUUAUGCCGCUGGUAUUUUAGGGCUUUUGGUCCAGCAGCCCUUAAGAUUCAUUGAGGGCUGUAGUUUAUUUUACUUAUGGUCUAUUUGUUAGAGCUCUCUGAUUCAAAUUCUCCGCGGAGAGUGAUUUUAGAGGGAAGUGAUUCUAUGGCUGAAAUUGAUUUUCUAGUAAUUUUUUGGAAUAAACUAUUUGAAGGAAGUGAUUUUGUACGGGAAGUAAAUUAAGGGAAGCUGUUUUUUUCAGCUUCUCAGUUUCUAGUUUAUUUCAGAUAAUCACUUUCACGGAUUACACUCAAGAGCUAAAAACUGAAAGCUGCUGUUUGACAGAGCUUCUCCUGAUUUUAGCCGAAAAGCUGCUCUGGGAGCUCUGCCAAACAGGUCCUUGGUAUGCUGUAUUGAGUAGAACUAUUUAGAAACAUGAACUAAACUGCAUCUCUGGUAGCCAGGACUCAACAACAUCGAGUGCAGCUAUGAACAAGGCAGUGAUACUCAUUUGUGCAGAUGAUUAUCCCAAACCGUGUAUUUCUGAAUGAUGCAUCAACACAUCAUCUUGAUGAUGUCUUACAUACCCUAC